UUCAUCCUUUCACCCCACGUGGGCACCAUAUGUACACAUCCAUUUUCAUCGUCACCUUCAUUUACUUUGUUUCAGAGCUACCUAUCUCUUCAGCACCACUCAGUAUACAUAUAUACAUCUCUUCAGGUUCGUUUCACCAUGACUUACUCCUUUUACAUAAGGCGGUCCAUUCUAUCAGGCAAUAAAGGCCAACAUUUUAGCAAGUUUUGGCACUUGCAAUCCUCUUAAUUUAAGGUUAAAGCUGACAAAAAGCACAAUGACUCAGAAGAUGUUUAAGAGUCACAUCAUCUGGAACUGCUGGCAGAUUGGCUUUAAGGGAUAAAUAAAAGGAAGAUUAAGGAAGGCUCUGUGGAUUCAAAACUAUGUGGAUGGUGACACUAUUUACUGAAAUGGGGAAAACCAGGAGACAGACAGGUCUGGAUGAGGGGGUGAAAUUAGGAGCUAUAGUCUAGGCAGAGCAAGUUUGACAGGCCUAAUGCAUACGCAACUCAGAAAAGGUUUGCAGAAAAGAAAAGAUUUACAGAACAAGCAAAGAUGCUUUAAAAGUUAGCCUGAAUAAAAUUCAUCAAGGCCUAGUAUUGCAAUUAUUAUCAGGAAUCUUCGUUAUUAUCAAUUAUUAGGAAUCCUCAUUCCUAAAUAAUGGAAGAUUUUGGACCCAAAGCUAUACAGCUUAUAGGAAUCUAAUAUAAUGCCAAAAUUUGCUUAUUUAAGCUGUCACUUAUCAAUUUUGUUUUAUGAAAAAAAUGUUUAUUUUUUCAAUUAUCACUGCUUUUCUUAUUUAGUGAAUAUCUGUAUUUCACAUAUUUGUCCAGGAGCUAAGAACCAGGAAAGGAAAGAUGUAGCUCCUGCCUUCAUAGACUAUAUUCCAGUAGAAGAGUCAGGAAAAAACAGACAUAGUGAUUCUGCUCUUCUGAUCAACCCUGAUUGACACAGCCACAGUUAGAGAACAUGGAAAGAGCUCCUCUUCAUUAACUAAUUUGAUAUUAACAUUGCUUUCAAUAUUUCCAAUCUCUGGAAAACUAUCUAUGAAAUCAUACCUAAUAAACACAUCAAAGCUUUGGAGUUACUCUUACCCCAACACCUGAAUUUAUCCUGGGCAUUUGGUUGGUGAAGCCUAGUCAAGCCCGUGUAACUGCAAUUGUCUGGAAGAGUGAGUCUAACGUGUUAAAAUUGCUACACUUCAGUGUUCUGAAUGCAUCCAUGUGUUCCAUGAUAUUGCAGGAGUCACAAGAAAGUGAAUCACAAGAUUAUUAGAAAGUAGAGAAAGCACUGCCUUCUGACUUACCUAACACAUUUUUUUCAUCACCCUGUUCUGAGAUUAUAAGAUCAGGAGUAACAGAGUCACUUUACAAAGAUAUUACAGUAUUUUGGUGAGAACCUUCGAAGAUUUUAAACUUAGAAAGUUCUUUUCACUUGUAAACAACCCAAAUGCCCAUCAAUGAUAGACUGGAUAAAGACAAUGUGGCACACAUACACCAUGAAAUACUAUGCAG
Molecule: long non-coding RNA, 1493 nt
Organism: Sapajus apella (tufted capuchin)
Lineage: Eukaryota; Metazoa; Chordata; Mammalia; Primates; Cebidae
Exons: 3
Source: RefSeq, a predicted model, not a curated record